RNAcentral lists this ribosomal RNA (253 nucleotides) under uncultured bacterium. RNAcentral describes it as "partial 16S ribosomal RNA". It matches the Rfam family "Bacterial small subunit ribosomal RNA", at positions 524 to 776 of the family's 1533-position model. The record is from RNAcentral.
UACGUAGGUGGCAAGCGUUGUCCGGAUUUAUUGGGUUUAAAGGGUGCGUAGGCGGCCCUGUAAGUCAGUGCUGAAAUAUCCCGGCUUAACCGGGAGGGUGGCAUUGAUACUGCGGGGCUAGAGUACAGAUGAGGUAGGCGGAAUUGACGGUGUAGCGGUGAAAUGCUUAGAUAUCGUCAAGAGCACCUAUAGCGAAGGCAGCUUACUAGGCUGUAACUGACGCUGAGGCACGAAAGUGUGGGGAUCAAACAGG